AACGCUAGCUACAGGCUUAACACAUGCAAGUCGAGGGGUAACAGGGGAGCUUGCUCCCGCUGACGACCGGCGAAUGGGUGAGUAACGCGUAUCCAACCUGGCUCCGGCCCGGGGAUAGCCCUUGGAAACGAGGAUUAAGACCCGAUGGGUGCGGGCAUCGCAUGAUGCCCUCAUGAAACAGGCAGGAGAUGGGGAUGCGUAUGAUUAGCUAGUUGGCGGGGUAACGGCCCACCAAGGCAACGAUCAUUAGGGGUUCUGAGAGGAAGGUCCCCCACACUGGUACUGAGACACGGACCAGACUCCUACGGGAGGCAGCAGUGAGGAAUAUUGGUCAAUGGGCGAGAGCCUGAACCAGCCAAGUAGCGUGAGGGAAGACGGCCCUACGGGUUGUAAACCUCUUUUGCGCGGGAAUAAAAAAUGCCACGCGUGGCAUCUUGCAUGUACCGCAGCGAAUAAGGACCGGCUAAUUCCGUGCCAGCAGCCGCGGUAAUACGGAAGGUCCGAGCGUUAUCCGGAUUUAUUGGGUUUAAAGGGAGCGCAGGCGGAGUGAUAAGCCAGCCGUAAAAUAGUCGGGCUCAACCCGAUCCCGCGGUUGGAACUGUCGCCCUUGAGUGCGGGAGAGGAAGGCGGAACUCGUGGUGUAGCGGUGAAAUGCAUAGAUAUCACGAAGAACUCCGAUUG
RNAcentral lists this ribosomal RNA (681 nucleotides) under uncultured bacterium. Its description in RNAcentral is "bacterial SSU rRNA". It matches the Rfam family "Bacterial small subunit ribosomal RNA", at positions 32 to 715 of the family's 1533-position model. The record is from RNAcentral.